UACACGGCUCUCCGGCUCCACGGACUACCUCGUCACGUCCACAUCUUGACAUUGGAACCUUGGAAAGCUGGCUCCAUUCUCCUAAGAUUGGAAAACACUUUGGAGAAGAGUCAUGGUUCUCCAAAUUUAGAUGCAGAACAACUUGAUCAAGUAAACAGUCACAUAACGGUGGAUAUCCGCAAGAUAUUCCUGUACCAGAUUAAAGAUAUAAAGGAGACUACACUCGCUGGUAACCAGUGGCUGCAAGAUGCCAGACAAAUGGAUUGGAGUACUAGGUAUGUGUACUCUGGAGGAGAUGACGGUAUUCUACCAGAGGA
This 317-nucleotide unclassified non-coding RNA is filed under the name Melitaea cinxia (Glanville fritillary). Its description in RNAcentral is "misc RNA ENSMCXG00005004642.1". The record is from RNAcentral. Lineage: Eukaryota; Metazoa; Arthropoda; Insecta; Lepidoptera; Nymphalidae.